Molecule: ribosomal RNA, 386 nt
Filed under: uncultured bacterium
Lineage: Bacteria
Description: partial 16S ribosomal RNA
Rfam family: Bacterial small subunit ribosomal RNA
Source: RNAcentral
CAACACCAAGUUUUGACAUCCCGAAAACAAUGAAAGAAAGAAACCUUUUUUUUGGAGCAUGAAAAAAGGUGACGGCAGGGGCUUGUUAGUUGUCAUUUUGGGGAGUUUGGGUUAAGUCCAAAAAGGGGGCAAACCCCAUUUCUUGGUACCAAGGGGUUAGGAUGGGCACUCUAGGGAGACUGCCAGGGAUAACCGGGAGGAAGGUGGGGAUGAGGUCAAAUCAUCAUGCCCCUUAUGACUUGGGCUACACACGUGUUACAAUGGUGUUAACAAAGGGAAGCGAAGCCGCGAGGCGGAGCAAAUCUCAAAAAAAAAGUCUCAGUUCGGAUUGCAGUCUGCAACUCGCCUGCAUGAAGCUGGAAUCGCUAGUAAUCGCGGAUCAGCUG